This 216-nucleotide ribosomal RNA is filed under the name uncultured bacterium. Its description in RNAcentral is "partial 16S ribosomal RNA". It matches the Rfam family "Bacterial small subunit ribosomal RNA", at positions 1284 to 1500 of the family's 1533-position model. The record is from RNAcentral.
CGUCUCAGUUCAGAUUGCAGGCUGCAACUCGCCUGCAUGAAGUCGGAAUUGCUAGUAAUCGCGGAUCAGCAUGCCGCGGUGAAUACGUUCCCGGGCCUUGUACACACCGCCCGUCACACCAUGGGAGCCGGUAAUACCCGAAGUCAGUAGUCCAACCUCGUGAGGACGCUGCCGAAGGUAGGAUUGGCGACUGGGGUGAAGUCGUAACAAGGUAUC